UUAGUAUGUCAAAUUUCGGAUGAUUAUAUAUAUAUCUGUCAAUCACCUAAUAAUCCCAACUACAUAUAUAAUCGGGAGAAAUUGUUAGGAAUGCCCUUUCAAACUACUCCUUUUCAAUUCUAUCAUUUUUUGUAAUUUAUUUUCAUUUAUCCCAUCUUUUGAUUUUUUAUGGUCAUUUUACUCUUAUUUGAAAAUAUUUUAGG
RNAcentral lists this small RNA (203 nucleotides) under Arabidopsis thaliana (thale cress). RNAcentral's name for it is "ATSL050170". Lineage: Eukaryota; Viridiplantae; Streptophyta; Magnoliopsida; Brassicales; Brassicaceae. The record is from RNAcentral.